Molecule: long non-coding RNA, 653 nt
Organism: Homo sapiens (human)
Lineage: Eukaryota; Metazoa; Chordata; Mammalia; Primates; Hominidae
Gene: ROCR
Product: regulator of chondrogenesis RNA
Source: Ensembl
ACUUCCGGGCUGUGCUGUCACUAGAGUGCUGCUCGUUCUCUAUUUCUCCGCCUGCUGCUCUGCAUCUUAGGAGGCAAAGAAACAUUUUCAGCCCUCUCCAAGCCAUGAGAUGGAAGAGUGUCCUUAUAUGAAGACUGCUGGAGUUCCAUUGGCUGGAAGUGCCUCAGGCUGUGGCUGGUGUUUGAAGGGCUGCUCCACACAUAUCAAUCAUCCUUUGACAAGAUCUGGAAGAAAAAAAAAAACAACAAAAACCACCCCCCAAAAAGGUGAGGUUCCGAGAUGGUAUCUGGAUGAUGAACACAGAGAGAGCUUCCAUUGUUCCUCUUCUCCUUUGUGCAGAGGAAGCCGUUGGCUGAGUUCAGAAAAAUGUUAAGUGCAUAUCCCGGACCAGUUUGGGUCUCCAGACUGAAUGAAGCCAGUCAGCUGGGAUUCUGGUUGAGUCUCAGACUCAGAAGAAACUUGUGGGAUUAAGUGGUUUUUCUGGAAAAUAUUGGCUGAAAACCACAUUCACCCCAAAUUGCUGUGUGAAUGAAACACAUGGGUUUUCUUUGUGUUUUAAAUAAUUCCAGUGGUGGCCUCAAGCUUCUAUUUCCCUGUGUUUUUAUGGAGUUAACCAAAAUAGCUUUGUACAAAUAACAAAAAGUAUGAAAAAG